GAUGAACGCUGGCGGCGUGCCUAAUACAUGCAAGUCGAGCGAACAGACGAGGAGCUUGCUCCUCUGACGUUAGCGGCGGACGGGUGAGUAACACGUGGAUAACCUACCUAUAAGACUGGGAUAACUUCGGGAAACCGGAGCCAAUACCGGAUAAUAUAUUGAACCGCAUGGUUCAAUAGUGAAAGACGGUUUUGCUGUCACUUAUAGAUGGAUCCGCGCCGCAUUAGCUAGUUGGUAAGGUAACGGCUUACCAAGGCAACGAUGCGUAGCCGACCUGAGAGGGUGAUCGGCCACACUGGAACUGAGACACGGUCCAGACUCCUACGGGAGGCAGCAGUAGGGAAUCUUCCACAAUGGGCGAAAGCUUGACGGAGCCACGCCGCGUGAGUGAUGAAGGUCUUCGGAUCGUAAAACUCUGUUAUUAGGGAAGAACAAAUGUAUAAGUAACUAUGCACGUCUUGACGGUACCUAAUCAGAAAGCCACGGCUAACUACGUG
This 497-nucleotide ribosomal RNA is filed under the name uncultured bacterium. Its description in RNAcentral is "partial 16S ribosomal RNA". It matches the Rfam family "Bacterial small subunit ribosomal RNA", at positions 28 to 507 of the family's 1533-position model. The record is from RNAcentral.